GACGAACGCUGGCGGCGUGCCUAAUACAUGCAAGUAGAACGCUGAAGGAGGAGCUUGCUUCUCUGGAUGAGUUGCGAACGGGUGAGUAACGCGUAGGUAACCUGCCUGGUAGCGGGGGAUAACUAUUGGAAACGAUAGCUAAUACCGCAUAAUAUUGACUAUUGCAUGAUAGUUGAUUAAAAGGUGCAAUUGCACCACUACCAGAUGGACCUGCGUUGUAUUAGCUAGUUGGUGGGGUAACGGCUCACCAAGGCGACGAUACAUAGCCGACCUGAGAGGGUGAUCGGCCACACUGGGACUGAGACACGGCCCAGACUCCUACGGGAGGCAGCAGUAGGGAAUCUUCGGCAAUGGACGGAAGUCUGACCGAGCAACGCCGCGUGAGUGAAGAAGGUUUUCGGAUCGUAAAGCUCUGUUGUAAGAGAAGAACGAGUGUGAGAGUGGAAAGUUCAC
RNAcentral lists this ribosomal RNA (453 nucleotides) under Streptococcus sp. oral taxon 058. RNAcentral describes it as "bacterial SSU rRNA". It matches the Rfam family "Bacterial small subunit ribosomal RNA", at positions 28 to 467 of the family's 1533-position model. Lineage: Bacteria; Bacillati; Bacillota; Bacilli; Lactobacillales; Streptococcaceae. The record is from RNAcentral.